GCACAAGCGGUGGAGCAUGUGGUUUAAUUCGAUGAUACGCGAGGAACCUUACCAGGGCUUGACAUGCGCCGGGAGGGGGCUGCGAGGCCUCCGCCCUUCGGGGCCGGCGCACAGGUGCUGCAUGGCUGUCGUCAGCUCGUGCUGUGAAGUGUUGGGUUAAGUCUCGCAACGAGCGCAACCCCUGCCGCCAGUUGCCACCAGGUGAAGCUGGGCACUCUGGCGGGACCGCCGGCGACAAGCCGGAGGAAGGCGGGGACGACGUCAAGUCAUCACGGCCUUUAUGCCCUGGGCCACACACGUGCUACAAUGGCCGGUACAGAGCGCAGCGGAGCCAAAAGGCCGAGCGAACCGCAGAAAGCCGGUCACAGUACGGACUGGGGUCUGCAACCCGACCCCACGAAGUUGGAAUCGCUAGUGAUUGCGCAUCAGCAUGGCGCGGUGAAUACGUUCCCGGGC
This 456-nucleotide ribosomal RNA is filed under the name uncultured bacterium. Its description in RNAcentral is "bacterial SSU rRNA". It matches the Rfam family "Bacterial small subunit ribosomal RNA", at positions 923 to 1379 of the family's 1533-position model. The record is from RNAcentral.